Long non-coding RNA from Esox lucius (northern pike), 696 nucleotides. NCBI's taxonomy places the organism in Eukaryota, Metazoa, Chordata, Actinopteri, Esociformes, Esocidae. The record is from Ensembl.
AUCCUUUUUUGUAUCCAACAGGCUGUAAAGCACAGACCGUGACGCUUUUGGGCCUGGAAAGAAAACGGGAGAGUCAGGGUCUCCCUACACCCCCUCUUCAAUUAAACUCAGGCCUUCAGGUCUGAGAAAGGCCACAGUAGAGAGGGGGAAGGGCCUGAUGUCGGUGUCUGCGAGGGAGCUGAACGAGCUAUCUCACUGUAACACCUGCCAAGAAAUACAAAGGACUUCUAGAUGACGAACAGCCUUCCUCCUACGCAUCCUCAUCAAGCCCAUGCGAUGCUGCACCUCGUGUCCUCCAACAGGGAACCGAAAGACGUUAUGUUUGUAUAACAAAAAAAAGAAGGUUUCAUGCUUUUUUUAACGACAUCUAAACCCCGGGCUCUUCCAGCUAGGGGCUUGUGUUUCUGGCUUUAAAAAUAGAAAAUGAUUAACAUUAGCUGCCCUUCUCUGGCAUGUGUACUGACCCUAUAAGAAGGGUAGUAUUGCUAAUGGUUCUGACAGUGUGUGUGAAAACAUCGAGGGCAACCUGGCCUCAGGAGAGAACGAUGCCAGUCUCUGUUAGCAUGGACACGGCCGGUAGCCCACACAUACCACAUGUCAUGACUUACCUAACGAAGUGGUUAUAACACUCAUGGCUGUGUGCUGUUGUUAAGGGUUGGCAGUGGCAGCAACAUUGUGGUAUUCUACAUGAUGGGG